UCUCCUCACCAUGCUCUGGGCUCCCCUCGUUGUCGUGCUGCUGGGGGUGUGGUGCACAGGUUCCAGCUCCCAGUCUGUGGUGACGCACCCGCCUGCAGAGUCAGUGUCCCCAGGAAACACUGUGAAACUCUCCUGCACCAUGAGCAGUGGGACCAGCAUCAGUGGCUACUAUGUGAACUGGUUUCAGCAGAAACCUGGGACCCCCCCUCGGUACCUGCUGUAUUACAAGUCGGAUUCUGAGAAGCACCAGGGCUCCGGGGUCCCCGCUCGCUUCUCUGGCUCCAAAGACACGUCCAGUAACACUGCCUACCUGACCAUCGCCGAUGCCCUUGCGGAGGACGAGGCUGACUAUUACUGUGCUGUGUGGCACAGUAGUGCUUGUCACAGUGAUAUACGUAUCUUCAACACUUAUACUUGUGAAGAGGCCUUUGAGGGAAGGCCAGCCUGGAACAAGGCUGUGGGAGGCUUCAAUUUCCCAAUGCCUCUCAAAUCGGACCUACUGCUCUGCUGGCCCCUGUACCCGCUGGACCCCCGGGAAGAUGGGUGUGUGUCAUCGCCCAACAACAUCUGGACUGACUUAGGCCUGUGCAAAUAG
Molecule: non-coding RNA, 595 nt
Organism: Alligator mississippiensis (American alligator)
Lineage: Eukaryota; Metazoa; Chordata; Crocodylia; Alligatoridae
Source: the annotation of a RefSeq genome assembly